Molecule: ribosomal RNA, 508 nt
Filed under: uncultured bacterium
Lineage: Bacteria
Description: bacterial SSU rRNA
Rfam family: Bacterial small subunit ribosomal RNA
Source: RNAcentral
AGGGUUCGAUUCUGGCUCAGGAUGAACGCUGGCGGCGUGCCUAACACAUGCAAGUCGAACGGGAACUCCUAGAUGAAGUUUCGAUGGAUUUAGGAAAUUCUAGUGGCGGACGGGUGAGUAACGCGUGGGUAACCUGCCCUUAAGAGAGGAAUAACAACGAGAAAUCGGUGCUAAUACCUCAUAUGCUUACAGUACCGCAUGGUACAGUGAGGAAAGAUUUAUCGCUUAAGGAUGGACCCGCGUUUGAUUAGCCAGUUGGCAGGGUAACGGCCUACCAAAGCAACGAUCAAUAGCCGGCCUGAGAGGGUGAACGGCCACAUUGGAACUGAGACACGGUCCAAACUCCUACGGGAGGCAGCAGUGGGGAGUAUUGCACAAUGGGCGCAAGCCUGAAUGCAGCAACGCCGCGUGAGUGAAGAAGUAUUUCGGUAUGUAAAGCUCUAUCGAUGGGGAAUAAAACUGAAGGUACCCAAGUAAGAAGCCCGGCUAACUACGUGCCAGCCGCAGC